This 22-nucleotide unclassified non-coding RNA is filed under the name Chlamydomonas reinhardtii. RNAcentral describes it as "small RNA Cre_2021". Lineage: Eukaryota; Viridiplantae; Chlorophyta; Chlorophyceae; Chlamydomonadales; Chlamydomonadaceae. The record is from RNAcentral.
GUCUAGGCGGUCAGGAUACAGG